GGAUUGUGGCUCAGCGGUAGAGCACUUGCCUAGCAUGUGCAGGGACCUGGGUUCAAUCCUCAGCACCA
Molecule: transfer RNA, 68 nt
Filed under: Marmota monax (woodchuck)
Lineage: Eukaryota; Metazoa; Chordata; Mammalia; Rodentia; Sciuridae
Description: tRNA.Ala
Source: RNAcentral